GUAACUUCCGAGUGGGUCACCUAUCCUGGGAGUGCUAUGGCCUAUUUCUCGCUUAACUUCGGAGUUCCUACGAAACCCGAAGCCAGUGAGCUCCCAAAAAGCCUCGUGCUAGAUAGGGAUGGGAAUAUACAUUUAAGGAUCACUCCACCGGACGAUGUGGAAUGUUACAAUCCACCCCCCGUAGGGGCCUGACGUCCUGGUCGGCACACUUCCUGGCAGAGAUUGGCUUUGAUACCAUUCUUGUCACAUCUCGGCCUGGGUCCACCACAUCCCAGGACUGUUCCACCACCGUAGCACGAUAUUGUCCACUUUGGGCUUACCAUUCCAAUACCAACUAACACACCCCGACCCGGAAUAUCCACUGGGACUCCGAAUCGAGAUGUGCUAGCCGACACCUGAAAUGUGACGAAGCCAUAAAGUGUGAUGAUGUGGAAAAAUUGUGAAUAAAUUUAAACCUAAUAGUGCCUAAAUACCAGAGUGCACUGGUGAGUGGGAAUAAACCCAUUGUAUAUGUGAUGUUAGAGCAUAAGUAAGUACAGAAUAGUGAAUUAGGAAUCAUACCCUAGAAAUAAUUUCCAGUAUUAAGGAUCACCACGAACCUUCGACGAUAAGAAAUCUCAGCUAAGUAGACCUGAAGGGUUCUUGUCACAUCUCGGCCCAGGUCCACCACAUCCCGAGCCCGUUCCACCAGCGUAGCACGAUAUUGUUUACUUUGGGCUUAUCAUUCCCUCACGGUUUUGUUUUUGGGAACUCACGAGCAACUUCCCAAUGGGUCACCCAUCCUGGGAGUGCUAUGGCCUCCUUCUCGCUUAACUUCGGAGUUCCUACGGAACUCGAAGCCAGUGAGCUUCCAAAAAACCUCGUGCUAGUUAGGGAUGGGAAUAUACAUUUAAGGAUCACUCCUUUGGGUGAUGUGGGAUGUUACAUCUACCCCUUUACAACAGAAAAAAAAAGGCAAAGGUAUGCAAAAAUUGAGUUUCAUUGGCAAAAUGGCACAAAUUGAGUUUCACAAGAUAUUAAAGUUGAGUUUCAAGGUGAAGCCUAAAAGAAGUUAAUGUUUCACUUUAAAAAACCAAUUAUCAAUAGGAAUAAAAGACCCAAAAUCACUUUAAGGGAGCUAUAUUCACAUUAGGAUUUGAAAGAAUUUGAAAAUAUUUUCUUAAGUGAUAAAUUGCAUGAGAUUGUGGAGACUUUUGCAAAGACUAAAAUAUAAGAAUUUUUGAAUAUUUUAGUAUAAGAUUUUGAAAUAUUUUCUUGAAAAUAAACAGCUAAUACAAUUGAUCGGGCAACUAUUAAACAUAUUUAGGCAAGUUUUAUUCACAGUCGGGCAAAUUUGUUCACCGAUCGUCCAAAUGCUAGUAUAUGUAGAAAGUGUUUGUGAAAGAGAACUUACUACAAGGAAUCAGGGAAUCGAUACUACAAGUAAUGUAGCAGAGCAAUACAAAAGGAAUUUGUAAGAGUAGGCUUGUAGAGCUUUAAUGUCUUUUUGUAUAUUGAGUUGAGUCUUCUUCUUCUAUCUUUUUGUUGCCUUUCAUAAAACCACCUUCUACUUAUGGAGUAAGCUUUUCCCUCUCAGUUUAUUCCUUCAUAUCCAAGUUGUUGAUGUGAUUACUGUCAAAGGAUAAUUUUCCUCUUGCUAACUCGAGCUUUUAUCCGCUCAAAACUACAAGUUCACCACUGUAAAGUAUUUUUCCUUCUUUCUUUUUGCUACCUUUUAUAAAACCACCUCAUACUUCUAGAGUAAGCUUUUCCCUCUCGGUUCAUUCCCUCAAAUCCAAGUUGUUGUUGUAAUUGAUGUCAGAGGAUAAGUUUCCUCUUGCUAACUCGAGCUUUUAUCAUCUCAAAACGACAAGUUUGCCGCUGAAAAAUGCUAUUUCUUCUAUAAAAAUGACUGAGCAACCUUCUUUCUAUGUGAAAGAGGGUUUUUUGCCACUCACAAUGACAUGUCAUAAAGUGUUUUUCAAAAACUGGGCUUGGCACUAUUCAAAUAAACACCCAAUAAACUUUUACACUUAAAUCUAGUGUUUUUUGGCUAGGAGUUGGACAGGCCCAUUGUUUGAUUUUAGCCCAAACAAGAAUGACUAGCACAUCUAGAAAAUUCUUAUUCAGCCAAGUACAUUGAAGUGCAACCUUUAAUUCUGUUUGAUGAAUCUACUAGCAAGGUGACAUCUAAUAUAUUAGAGAUGCAAAGUUUAGUUUUGCAGCGCCUGAUGUCUUUAUGUUCCGGAUUCCAAUGUUAUUAUUCCCUAUGUCCCUCAUGCCACUUGUCCUUCAAUUUCUUCCAUAGAAAGUAGUUACUUUUGUAGUGCUAACUGCUAAUAAGCAGCUUGUUAUAACCUGUACCUUAAAAUAAUGUAUUUUAUUCCCGAAAAGUAUGCAAUAAUCAAAAUGCCCCUAGUGUGGAUGUCUUGAAUAAAUGUGGACCUCUAAGUUUAAUUUCAAUUUAUCGUAUUUUCUUAUUUUAUUAAAUUAGUUUUUAUACUCCCAAUUGUGCGGGCGAAAGUUUAAUCGGAUUAAGAGUUACGAAAGUUGAGUUGUGAUUUUUGGAAGUUGGAGGGCAAAACUGUAAUUUCCUUGAAAAUUUUAAAGUUGGUUCUCACUCUACUCUCGUUCACUCUCUCUUCCUCCUUCCCAAUUAUGUAACACCUCUCUUUCACUAAGUCAUGACUCUCUCACUCUCUUAAGCUCCGAGCACCACCACCCAACUUCGACCAAAACUCGACCCCAAACUAAAUCACCAUAACCUGAUGAACUUAAUGAUGGCCUUGUAUGUGGGAAUCAGAGUCCAGGAGUAGGAGAAGUCGAGUCACCAAGACUCUCUGGUGAGUUUGAGUUGGGACUCGAUGUCAUGGAGGUGAGUUUGGGUAGGUAAAGUAUACCUAAGGGCGUGAGACAACUCUUUCUAAGGAACUCGGCAAAAUAGCCUUAUAACUACCAAAAACACAAGUCUCUGCAAAGUUGUAAGACCAUGUAUGGGGCCGAUGCUUGUCUAGUGUUGAAAGGUUAAGGAAGUUGGUGACCUGAUGAUAGGCGAAUGGCCAUCGGCGUUAACUAUAAUAGACGCAACGAUGAUUACAGUUAGAGAUGAUAGAAUCUCCAACAGAGAAGGUAUAUUCUAUCACAUUCUCGGUUCACACACUCGCCC
This 3145-nucleotide long non-coding RNA is filed under the name Malus domestica (apple). RNAcentral's name for it is "long non-coding RNA (MDOM_LNC000417)". The record is from RNAcentral. Lineage: Eukaryota; Viridiplantae; Streptophyta; Magnoliopsida; Rosales; Rosaceae.